UCGGGAAUUUUGGGCAAUGGGCGCAAGCCUGAUCCAGCCAUGCCGCGUGUGGGAAGAAGGCCUUCGGGUUGUAAACCACUUUUGUCAGGGAAGAAACGGCCUGAUCUAAUACAUUGGGUUAAUGACGGUACCUGAAGAAUAAGCACCGGCUAACUACGUGCCAGCAGCCGCGGUAAUACGUAGGGUGCGAGCGUUAAUCGGAAUUACUGGGCGUAAAGCGUGCGCAGGCGGCUUUGCAAGACAGAUGUGAAAUCCCGGGGCUCAACCUGGGAACUGCAUUUGUGACUGCAAGGCUAGAGUACGGUAGAGGGGGAUGGAAUUCCGCGUGUAGCAGUGAAAUGCGUAGAUAUGCGGAGGAACACCGAUGGCGAAGGCAAUCCCCUGGACCUGUACUGACGCUCAUGCACGAAAGCGUGGGGAGCAAAC
This 426-nucleotide ribosomal RNA is filed under the name uncultured bacterium. RNAcentral describes it as "bacterial SSU rRNA". It matches the Rfam family "Bacterial small subunit ribosomal RNA", at positions 355 to 773 of the family's 1533-position model. The record is from RNAcentral.